This 530-nucleotide ribosomal RNA is filed under the name uncultured Nitrososphaerota archaeon. RNAcentral describes it as "bacterial SSU rRNA". It matches the Rfam family "Archaeal small subunit ribosomal RNA", at positions 451 to 981 of the family's 1478-position model. The record is from RNAcentral. Lineage: Archaea; Thermoproteati; Nitrososphaerota.
UCUGGUGUCAGCCGCCGCGGUAAAACCAGCACCUCAAGUGGUCAGGAUGAUUAUUGGGCCUAAAGCAUCCGUAGCCGGCUCUGUAAGUUUUCGGUUAAAUCUGUAUGCUCAACAUACAGGCUGCCGGGAAUACUGCAGAGCUAGGGAGUGGGAGAGGUAGACGGUACUCGGUAGGAAGGGGUAAAAUCCUUUGAUCUAUUGAUGACCACCUGUGGCGAAGGCGGUCUACCAGAACACGUCCGACGGUGAGGGAUGAAAGCUGGGGGAGCAAACCGGAUUAGAUACCCGGGUAGUCCCAGCUGUAAACUAUGCAAACUCAGUGAUGCAUUGGCUUGUGGCCAAUGCAGUGCUGCAAGGAAGCCGUUAAGUUUGCCGCCUGGGAAGUACGUACGCAAGUAUGAAACUUAAAGGAAUUGGCGGGGGAGCACCACAAGGGGUGAAGCCUGCGGUUCAAUUGGAGUCAACGCCAGAAAUCUUACCCGGAGAGACAGCAGAAUGAAGGUCAAGUUGAAGACUUUACCAGACAAGCU